RNAcentral lists this small RNA (705 nucleotides) under Rattus norvegicus (Norway rat). Its description in RNAcentral is "uncharacterized LOC102554981". Lineage: Eukaryota; Metazoa; Chordata; Mammalia; Rodentia; Muridae. The record is from RNAcentral.
UGUGGUCAGCUGUCCUGUAUACUCCCCAGGGAGGAAGCUGUCUUCUCUGACUGAGAUCUCAGUUGGGCAGUACUGACUGGACACUGGCCUGACAGCUUGAACUUGUAUGUACUUCCCAGGAAAGAGGUCUUCUCAGGAGAAGAACCAGAGCAUGGGAGCUCCUUGGACCCUUGGGAUCACUAAGACCUGCUGGCCCAUGGAUAGGACCUCUCUUGCUGGCUAUUCAUGGCUUCAGGCUCUCCAAAGCUGCUUCAUCAUCGUGGGCUGUUCACCAUCAUCUAUAACCUGCACCUACUAGAUGCCAGUAGCUGUCGCCUAUCCUGCACUUCUAUUAAGCAGCAACAUGACCAAGGAUCCUAGGAGACAAAAUGACUCUUGAUGAAGGAGCACAGUUGUAGUGUCCCAACAAAUCCUUAAAGCUCUGCCAGUGGGAUGGAGUCAAACCUGGCUAACAGAAGAAAGCAAGGCAGCCCGCUUCCAGGCAAAACAACUACCUCAGGCUCUACGUGACAUUCAACCAGAGCAUAAAGCAAGACAAAAACUGAAAAGAAAAUCUGCAAAAAGGCAAACAGGCAAGUAAUGACGAGAAUUCCACAGAAGCAGAGCAGGAGAGGGCAUUGUGACAAUGUGGAUAUGAACAGACACGUUUUAUGCCUCUUGUGUUUAAAUGGUGGAUGCUGUGUGAGGUUGGGUGGUAAAUUUUAG